UCAAUGAAAUUCUAACUGAUAUCUCAUAGAUUUAGAAACCUUCCAAUACCACUGAUGAAAGAUCCAUUCAGUAGAGUUUAGGGAGUACGAAUUUAGAAACAAAAGUCAUCAGCCACACCCAAAGCACAUCCCUAAGUUUUUCAGAAGAAGAAAGAAUGUGUUACAAGAGGCUGAUUUUCCAAUUACUACCACAAAAAUUGAAUUUACAGAGACCAAAUAAAACAAUAAAUGUUCAAGACAUGCAGGGACAAACGGCGUCAAAGUCAUCAGCCUUCUUCUCUGUUGGAAUAUAAACUGAACCACACCAUUGCCUUUUCUUUUUCUUCGUCCGACCAAGAUAUGCACAUCAUUUACAAUCCUCAUUCUACUGGAAAACUCGAUUGAUAAAUUUGCUAACCCUUGUAGAUAAUAUCAACCAUGGUAUAAUGCCAACCUGCAGUUAUAUCAGAACAAUAUGAAAAAAACAACCAAGUCCAUCUGAUUACAUGCUUAAAAUUCCAUUUAACUCUUAACACCUAUUAUGCAGUCUGACUUGGGAAAAUUUUAAUCCCAAACCCUAUGCAUUCAUCUAGGCUAUAGAAAGAUCAAGUAAACCUCAAAAGAAAGAUUUAGUUGAGCUUGAGUUAAAUUCUUAAACAUGAUAUCUCCACAACAAUUUUAAUAAAGUCUAGGCUGGAAAUUUUGUCAAUCUUCUCCACAAUUUUAUUUUAUGAUGGCUAAUUAAUAACAGGGAAACAAGGUGCUAAACACUAUUCCUAAAUAAACAUUAGCAAGUAGAGGUUUUAACCAAAAUACAAACAAGUGUUGUGUUGUGUGCUAUCGUUUGGAUUCUGCUGGUUGAGCUUGGUAGCCCGCAGCCCUAUUUGGACAUUUCCCAUGCUGGUAUGCAUUCUUCCACAGAGAAUGUUGUUUAUUUUUCAAUUGCAAAUUAUUCUAUCACUACUAUUUAGGAUAUUAGUUGCUAUUAUUUUUCUCUUAUUACUCCAUAUAUCUUAGGGCAUGUGAAAUCUUUUGUACAUGUUUAUGAUUUGGGAAAACCCUCGACUUGUUAUCCAGUAAAAGACUUUCUCCAGGAUAUGGACACACGCACACACACACAAAAUAAAUAAAUAAAAAUACGAGGAGGCUUUUGUUGGGGGCAUGGGUGGGGUGGGGUGUGGGUAGUUGGUGGUUUGUUGUAAAGCAAAACAGAAUUGAAAAACAUUACCAAUACAUUAUCAUUUAAACAACCUCCAGCACCCCAAGAUAGUAACUUUCCAAAGGGCUGCACCAAUUGCUGAGAUAUUGCAGUAACAGGAGUCCUCCAAAACCAGCAAAUCAACAUAAAGUAUAUUACAAUCUUUAAGAUAAAUAUUAUUUUGAGGUAUAAAUCAUAAGACAGCUUGAUCUCCUUGUUGUGCAUUUCUUCACGAUUUGUAAGUUCCUUCUCCUUUGCAGCUGCUAACCUCCUAAGUUUUGCAGCCUGAGCAAAUGUUGAUGGCUCUGAAAAGGCGCUCGCCUCUUUCAAGAGCUGCUUUAUUUCUGCACGUAACUGAACUUCUGUAGCAUUCUUAGAUGCUCUCUGAAAGGAAAGCAUAGUACCCUUAAGAAAAAGCAUCUUAGGGGAAAAAAAAAACACCUUUCUCAGGGAAACAAAGUGCCUAAAAGGUUAAAGUUGAUCCAGAAUUUUCUCCCAAGAGUGGCAAAAUGAAUUAUGUUGUGAUGGAAAAUACCAAUCCAGUUAUUAACUAAGCUUCAGAGUCCAAUUAGUUAGCAAAGGUUUUUGUUAGUAUUAAUUUUGCCAAAAUGUUAGUCUAAGUAGGGAAAUAGUGAAGAUUCAUAUUAACAUUAUGGCUGAAAUAUCCCCUGUAUCAAAUCAUGAUUGAGCAAUAUAAAAUUCAAUUUCCUAUCUGAAUUCUCUCUCCCCAUCCUCUACAGAUACCACUGGAUCCAAGAAUUGAUUGUACCAAAACACAUAACCAAUAUUUUCCUAUUUACAAGUCCCUGUUUCUCUGCAAAUAAUGCAACGAAAUUGAAAUAGAAGAAUGAAAUUCUUACUCACAAAAAUCUAAGAUUAAGGAGAAAUAGUACACCACACAGUAAAAAAUUUUUAAUUCCUCUCCGGGACAAAAUGUAUCCUAUAAAGUUUAGAGUGUAGAUAAAUAUCCAAAUCCUUCUGGUUGUGAGCGUAAAAUAUAAGUACAAGAAUUAAAGAAUAAAUCAAAUAGCAAAAUACUGCUUGAAUGCACAUAAUCCAAGCAAGAACAGCCCCAAAAAUUAAACAUUGAAGAAUUCAUACAAUGAUAGUUGAAAAUUGAUAAAUGGUAUUAAACUAAAAGGUACCUUCUUUAAGUGCUCAAGCCACCUGGAGACCAACUGGAAAAACACAACAAUGAGAAAGAUGACAGGAGCUGCAAGAAAGCUUCCCUGUUCUCCUCCUAGGGUUUCUUCCUCUCCCAUAAUGAAUGUCUUUAUGGUCUUAUGUUCAGCUAGAGCAGAGAUUAUUGACUAUUUUAAUGAAAUCAACUGUGCAUGGUGAUUUAAGAAAAUAGUAGAGAAAAGUGAGACAUUGACCUAUAGCUGGAAGGGUAAUAAUUGUAAUUGAAUAUGAUUUUUUAAAACUACCCAUUAGAAUUAUUUGUGUGAAUUUCUUUCUUGAAAUAAAAAAUAAAUAUAUGUGAUGCAAAAGCUAGUCUAUGAAAUGAUGUCUUAACUUUUAAGAACUUAGUUGUGAUGCCUCAAAAAUCAAAACCUCCUAAUCUUUUCUUUGAAGUUUCCAACAAGUUUAAUUGAAAAUUAGACCUCAGCUUGAUAUUCUUAUGAUGGUUCAAUAAUGAAUAAUUUUACAGAAAUUUAAAGCCUUGCAGUUGUCAUCUAUAGGAUUUCAUGAUGAACCCCAUACCUCAUUCGGAUAUCGUAGGACCUUUGGUGAGAUGCCUAGAAAUCUCUUAUAUUUGAUUUCAAAAUUUCAAGCAGCUCUAAAGAUAAUAGCAACUUCUCCCACAUGAUGGGAUAGAAGUUUGAAAUUCACAAAACAAAGAAAUAAUCUCUCAAAAAGUUUCAAAAUAAAUUACUUCAGCCACCCCAAUCACAAUAUAGUGACUCUUUCUCGAGCUAAAUGAAUGCGCUUGAUACUAUCUCAUAACUUAUUCAGACUAAGCUUACAAAAGAAUAUCAUACAAUUUUCCCAAAAAUACAAUCAAAGAGGGGCAUAGACUAACUAACAGGUUAAGGUUGUUAAUCCUUAAUCUUCAUUCUCAUCUUCAGCAGUGCUAACCAGUCCAAUCCAACAGAAAAGAUUAUAAAUGACACCAAAUAUAUAUAUAAUGCAACAUAAUAAGUAUUAAAAUAGCUUCAAAAUUUAAAAUCUUAACUCCAAAGUCCUAAUAAAAAUAAUCUUAAUGAUGCAAAUUUAACCAGUGAAUGAAGAACGAUAAAAACCAAUGAAAUCCUUCUAUGAAAAUAUUGAACCUGUCAACUUGAAGCCAUUUUCAUCAACAUCUUAAAAAACAAAAAUAAACCAAAACCCACAAAGGACAUUCCGUAAUAAGUGCCAUUGACCCAUUGAUAGCUUAUUAAAAAAAGCUAAAUGAAACAAAUAAAAAAAAAAGGACAAAAAUCUUGACAUAUUUUGCUAAAAAAACUGCAAAGUUACGGGCAAUAAUAGAGAAAGACCAAGGAAAAAGAGAAUUUAGUACCUGGUGAUCAUUAACAGAAUCAAGACCUGGAGUUUUACCGAUAGAUUACUAUAGAAUACCUGAUUUUAGGAGGUUGAGAUAUCUCAGAGAGAGAUUUGUUGUUUCUAUACAAAUACAUACCCGACACGCGUUUUCCUUCUUUUUAAAAACCGUUUUAG
Molecule: unclassified non-coding RNA, 3835 nt
Filed under: Hevea brasiliensis (rubber tree)
Lineage: Eukaryota; Viridiplantae; Streptophyta; Magnoliopsida; Malpighiales; Euphorbiaceae
Source: RNAcentral